Molecule: long non-coding RNA, 6236 nt
Filed under: Gossypium barbadense (sea-island cotton)
Lineage: Eukaryota; Viridiplantae; Streptophyta; Magnoliopsida; Malvales; Malvaceae
Description: long non-coding RNA (GBAR_LNC012230)
Source: RNAcentral
UCUCUUCUCCCAUUUGAGAAUUCUUAAGGAAUUCUAUUUGUUUGUAAUAUUUUGGAGAUAGUAAAGUUAUCAUCUGGUGUUAGUGCCCGAGGACGUAGGUAUAAUUUACCGAACCUCGUUAAAACUCUUGUGUUCUUUUUUGUCCUAUUUUUCUUUCAAUAUUUGAGGGUAUAAUAGUAGUAUUUAAUUGUGCUAUUAAAUUACUAUAGAAGGGAUAUUCUGACUAAGGAAAGACUUGGUAUUUAAGAGAUCAUUGUGAUCCACCUCUCUUCCCUGGGAAUUGAACUUUGUGUGAUUUUUUAGUACAAUAAUUUACACGCUUCCGACCCUAUUGGAACAACAAGUGGUAUCAAGAGCCGAAGGUUAAUCGUAGUAUGCUCUGUGGUUGCAGUUUAAACUGAUCUUCCACAUCAGAAAAGAUUUCCUUAGGUAUAUUGAAAGAUUAUGGAGAAAACGGUCGGUGUAGGAGCUUCAACAUCGUCCAUAUGGACAAGACCGACAAUUGCAAAUGCAAGAUUGGCCGUGGAGAUCUUUGAUGGCAUAGGCCAUUUUGGUAUGUGGCAAAGUGAGGUUUUAGAUGCCCUUUUUCAGCAAGGUUUAGACAUUGCCAUUGAUGAAGAGAAACCAGAUGAUGUACAGGAGAAAGAUUGGAAGGCGAUCAAUCAGUUGGCAUGUGGCACAAUUCGAUCAUGCCUUUCUCGAGAGCAGAGGUAUGCUUUUUCAAAGGAGACUUCUGCAAAUAAGUUGUGGGUGGCACUUGAAGAAAAUUUUUUGAAUAAAAACAGUCAAAAUAAGCUCCACUUGAAAAAAAGACUGUUUCGCUUCACUUACGUCCCAAGUACCACAAUGAAUGAUCACAUCACCAAAUUUAAUCAGUUAGUCACUGAUUUGCUAAAUAUGGAUGAGACAUUCAAAAAUGAAGAUUUGGCUUUGAUGCUGUUGGGGUCACUUCCUGAGGAGUUUGAGUUCCUAGAAACUACUCUACUUCAUGGCAGGAGUGAUAUAUCUCUGAGCAAAGUCUGUGCGGCCUUAUACAGUUAUGAACAGAGAAAGAAUGACAAACAGAAAAACUCAAUCAGAGAUACAGAAGCUUUAGUAGUCCGAGGUCGUUCAUACACUCGGAAGAAAACUCAGAAGGGGAGAUCAAAGUCAAAGUCCAGACUCGGGAAAGAUGAAUGUGCCUUUUGUCAUGAGAAAGGCCACUGGAAGAAAAAUUGUCCAAAGCUGAAGAAUAAGGGAAAAGCUGCUGUAGAUGCUUGUGUUGUAAAGUAUGAUACUUGUGACUCUGAACUAUCACUGGUUGCAUCAUCAUCGUCGUUCCAUUCAGAUGAGUGGAUAUUGGAUUCGGGUUGUACCUAUCAUAUGUCCCCUAACUGGGAGUGGUUCUUUGAUUUAGUUGAGCUAAAUGGAGGAGUUGUUUAUAUGGGCAAUGACAAUGCCUGUAAAACUGUUGGGAUAGGUUCAAUCCAAUUAAAGAAUCAAGAUGGAUCAACUAGAGUUCUGACUGAUGUUCGGUACGUGCCCAGUUUGAAGAAAAAUCUCAUCUCAUUGAGAGCCUUGGAAUCCAAUGGUUCAGUUGUUACUAUGAGAGAUGGGGUUCUGAAAGUGACAUCUGGCGCACUUGUGAUAUUGAAGGGCAUCAGGAAAAAUAACUUGUAUUACUACCAAUGUAGUACAAUUAUUGGAGCAGUCACUGCAGCUUCCGGUAACAAAGAAUUGGACUCAAUGCAGUUGUGGCAUAUGAAGUUGGGACAUGCCAGCGAAAAAUCCUUGCAAAUUCUAGCAAAGCAAGGAUUUUUGAAAGGUGCAAAGGCUUGCAAAUUAAAAUUUUGUGAGCAUUGUGUUCUGGGAAAGCAAAAGAGAGUGAAAUUCGGCACUACUAUCCAUAAUACAAAAGGUAUUUUGGAAUAUGUUCACUCAGAUGUGUGAAGGCCUUCCAAAACACCUUCGUUGGGAGGAAAACACUACUUUGUUACUUUUGUUGAUGACUUUUCCAGAAGAGUUUGGGUGUAUACCAUGAAAACUAAGGAUGAAGUGCUUGGAGUUUUUCUUAAAUGGAAAACUAUGAUCGAAAACCAGACUGGCAAGAAAAUCAAGCGGCUUAGGACGGACAAUGGAGGGGAAUAUAGAAGUGAUCCGUUCUUCGAUGUAUGCCAAGAGUAUGGUAUUGUUCAACACUUCACAAUUAGGGAUACACCGCAACAGAAUGGAGUGGCAGAGCGUAUGAAUCGAACAUUGCUAGAGAAAGUUCGAUGUAUGUUAUCCAAUGCUGGGUUGGGCAAGCAAUUUUGGGCUGAGGCUGUGACAUACGCUGGCCAUCUUGUUAAUCGUUUGCCAUCAUCUGCAUUAGAAAGAAAAAUUCCUAUGGAGGUAUGGUCUGGAAAACCGGCUACAGAUUAUGAUUCCUUACAUGUGUUUGGAUCCACUGCAUAUUACCAUGUGAAGGAGUCAAAGUUAGAUCCGAGGGCAAAGAAAGCUCUCUUUAUGGGAAUCACUUCUGGAGUGAAGGGAUUUCGUCUUUGGUGCUUAGACACAAAGAAAAUGAUCUGUAGCAGAGAUGUUACCUUUGAUGAAUCUGCCACAUUGAAAAAGGUAGCAGGUAAAGAUAUUCAGACGAGCGAUACUCCACAGCAGGUGGAGUGUACUCCAAAACAGGUGGAGUUUGAGCAGAUGGGGAUUUGCCCUGUUAAUAAGUCUAAUUCUCCAGCCACAAUGGAGGAAUUAGAGGUUGAAGAGGUUCUGACCCAAGAACCGUUAAGGACACCAGAACCAGUUGCAGUUGCAAGGCCACGGAGAGAAAUUCGUAGACCUGCUCGAUUUACUGAUAUGGUGGCCUACGCCCUUCCCGUUGUUGAUGAUGAUAUUCCUAUCACUUAUCAAGAAGCAAUGCAAAGCUUAGAAAGUGAUAAAUGGAAAAACGCCAUGGAUGAAGAAAUGCAGUCUCUCCGGAAGAACAAUACUUGGGAGUUGGCGCAAUUACCGAAAGGUAAAAGGGAAAUCGGAUGCAAGUGGGUAUUCGCAAAGAAAGAUGGAUCUCCUAGCAAGAAAGAUAUUCGCUACAAGGCAAGAUUGGUAGCUAAAGGCUACGCUCAGAAGGAGGGAAUUGACUACAAUGAUGUAUUUUCCCCUGUUGUGAAGCAUUCCUCCAUUAGAAUUUUGUUGGCCUUGGUAGCACAGUUGAAUUUGGAGCUAGCUCAACUUGAUGUUAAGACGGCUUUCUUGCAUGGUGAGUUAGAAGAGGAGAUCUAUAUGACUCAGCCCGAAGGAUACACAAAUGCUGGUGGUAGAAAUUGGGUUUGUAAGCUGAACAAAUCGUUAUAUGGAUUGAAGUAAUCCUCGAGGCAAUGGUACAAGCGAUUUGAUAGCUUUAUGAAAAGGCAGAAGUACACAAGAAGCAAAUAUGACAAUUGUGUGUAUUUGCAGAAGCUGCAUGACGGAUCUUUCAUUUAUCUACUCUUGUAUGUUGAUGAUAUGUUUAUCGCUUCGAAGAGCCAAAAGGAGAUAGAUAAGCUGAAGGCUCAGUUGAAUCAAAAGUUCGAGAUGAAAGAUCUAGGUGAGGCCAAGAAGAUUCUCGGCAUGGAGAUAAGUAGAGAUAGACAGAGAGGCAAGCUUUGUUUAAAUCAGAAGCAAUAUCUGAAAAAUGUAUUACAAUGUUUUGGUGUAAAUGAAAACACAAAACAUGUAAGUACCCCACUUGCUUCUCAUUUGAAACUCAGUGCUCAAUUAUCUCCGAAGACUGAAGAUGAAAGAGAAUAUUUGGCGAAAGUCCCAUAUGCUAAUGCAGUUAGGAGUUUGAUGUAUGUGAUGGUGUGUACGCGGCCUGACAUUUCACAAGCUGUUGGAGUUGUGAGCAGGUAUAUGCAUGAUCCUGGAAAAGGACAUUGGCAAGCUGUGAAAUGGAUUCUACGGUAUCUUCGAAAAACCGUAGACGUUGGUUUAAUUUUUGAGCAGGAUGAGCACUUGGUCAGUUUGUAGUUGGAUAUGUUGAUUCCGACUUUGCUGGUGAUUUAGAUAAACGUUGUUCAACUACGAGGUAUCUGUUUACUCUUGCAAAAGCCCCAGUGAGUUGGAAGUCUACCUUACAGUAUACAGUAGUUGUGUCUACUACAGAAGCGGAAUAUAUGGCAAUUACAGAAACUGUUAAGGAGGCUAUUUGGCUUAAUGGAUUGUUGAAAGACUUGGGAGUUGUUCAAAGUCACAUUAAUCUAUAUUGUGACAGUCAGAGCGCUAUUCAUUUAGCGAAAAAUCAAGUCUAUCAUUCAAGAACCAAGCAUAUCGACGUAAGAUAUCACUUUGUGCGGGAAGUCUUUGAAAAAGGAAAAAUUCUACUUCAGAAGAUUCCGACCGCAGAUAAUCCCGCAGAUAUGAUGACCAAGGUGGUAACAACAAUCAAGUUUAAUCAUUGUUUGAACUUGAUUAACAUCCUAAAAAUUUGAGCACCUUCAGGUGUAUGGCGCUCGAGAGCGCAUUUGGAGGCACUACAAAAGAUAGCUUUAUCGAAUUUGGGGAGUUGAAGGAAGUAUGUGAAGAUGUGAUUAUCCUAAUCAAAUCUUCAAGGUGGAGAUUGUUGAAAAGUCAAUUAAAGGGUGAGUUGGAAAGUCAAAAAUGGGAGGUGCAAGUGGCACCGAAAGGAAAAAUGGUAGGCAAGUUGUUUAAAAUUGAAUGGGAUAAUUGCAAUUUUGGUCCCUAAUUUUUUAGGUCAUUUGCAAGUUAGUCCCUGAACCUCAACUAUAAAUAGGCCUAACCAUUUCUCAUUUCAACCAUCCCAACCAAUCUUUCUUUCUUAGUUUUCUCUCUUCUCCCAUUUGAGAAUUCUUAAGGAAUUCUAUUUGUUUGUAAUAUUUUGGAGAUAGUAAAGUUAUCAUCUGGUGUUAGUGCCCGAGGACGUAGGUAUAAUUUACCGAACCUCGUUAAAACUCUUGUGUUCUUUUUUGUCCUAUUUUUCUUUCAAUAUUUGAGGGUAUAAUAGUAGUAUUUAAUUGUGCUAUUAAAUUACUAUAGAAGGGAUAUUCUGACUAAGGAAAGACUAGGUAUUUAAGAGAUCCUUGUGAUCCACCUCUCUUCCCUGGGAAUUGAACUUUGUGUGAUUUUUUAGUACAAUAAUUUACACGCUUCCGACCCUAUUGGAACAACAGUUUUUUCACAGUGGAAUUUCAUUUCUAGCCCUUCACCCAAUUCAUGGUCGCUUUGCAAUAAAACUGAAGUUUCAGUAGUUAGAAUGAGAUGCAGGAGAUGAAGAAAGCAAAGACCGUGUUGGAGAUUGUGGUCAACAUGGCAAUUCCAACACGGCAAAAUAAAGGAAGUUUGGUGCUUAUAUUUAUGCUUAACAUAUUAUUUGGUAUCCGAAUUUGAUAUUUUAUUUUAAUUGAAUUUGAUAUUUAUAUUUAAAAAAUUUUUAUUUUAUUUUAAUUAAAUUUGAUAUUUAUAUUUAAUAAAAGUUUAUAUACUCUGAUAUCUAAAGAUAAUGGUGCUACUUUUUUUAGUAUUUAACUUAGGUUUUAGCGUUAAUUUGAUGAAAAUUAAUUGCUAAUAUUAUUAGUUAGUUUAUGAAUUUUUAUCAAAUCAAUAUUAAAACUCGAAUUAAACACUAAAAAAUUAACUCUGUUAUUAGAUAUCAAAUUAGAUUAAAAAAACACAUAUAUCAUAUUAAAAAAAGGUCUAACUCAGAUACCAAAUUAUAUGUUAAACUUAAUAUAAAAUUAUAUAGUAUUAGUUGAUGAAAUAUAAAGUAAUAUGGAAAAAUGAGGAAAAAAAAGAGAAGGUGAUAGUGUUUUUCCACAAAAUCAACACAGAAAAUACAUCUCUACUUCCUGGAAGCUGUAAGUUGGAGUUGGCAAAUUUCUUGGUAAAUCGGGGAGAUGUUUUCCAUUAGUAGGACAAUAUUAUAAGUACGUCAUUAACACGUUUAAGCACUAUUGUAUUUAGAUGCUGAUUUGAAGAUACCACAAUUACUUUCUUUAAUGAAUUUUAUCUACAUUACCUUUCAUAUUUUUCUGCUUUCUUUUUUAAUUCCCUAGCUAUUACAGUAAUAAGUAAACUUCCUUACUUCUUAAAUUCCCACUUUAGAAGUCUAAUAAAACCUUUAGACAAAUCUCAAAUGAAUUUCAUGAAUCACGCAAACAUUAAACAAUCAAAAUAAACCAGUAAUCAUGUAAUAUUCAACACAAUAGUAAAUUAAACACACAGUUCUCCUUUCAUAACAUCAUAAAAUAAAUACUCCUAUUAGUAGUAACCAU